Molecule: long non-coding RNA, 2273 nt
Organism: Thalassophryne amazonica
Lineage: Eukaryota; Metazoa; Chordata; Actinopteri; Batrachoidiformes; Batrachoididae
Exons: 3
Source: RefSeq, a predicted model, not a curated record
AAUAAGUCUUCAACGUGUGAUCAAUCUUCAACGAUCGGCGAUGACAACACAUAGUUUAACACUCUCCAGUGAUGUUAGUCAUCUGCAAGGUGAAUAUCGGGACAGGUACAUCGAGAAACUUCGUCAGGGAGGCCUGGAAAACGAUGUUUACCUUUUGCUGAGCGGUUUGUUUACUGACGUCAUCAAGUGCAGCGCUGCGUGUCUUCCCAACCUCACACCGCACGAUCUGUAUCAUUAUGUGAUUAACAAUGUCUCAAGAUACACUGGACAAGAUCUGAAGGCCUACAAGAGUCUGGAUGCCUGUCAGUACUUCGUGUCAGGAUGGGUGACUAGCCUCAAUCAGUGGAUUCUACCAGCAGUUUCAGGUCGUCAUCUCAUCACAGUUUAUUUACAAAUUCAUGAGAAUUCAGUAAGGCUGUGAAGAUCGAACAGGAGACGAGGCAACAGGCAAAGUCAAAGUUAUGGUUUUCCCUCAGAGCAGGAAGGAUCACCGCUUCACGGUUCAAGGAUGCGGCACGAACCGACCCAGCAAACCCAUCAAAGAGUUUGGUCAGGUUGAUCUGUUACCCUGACAGUUUCAAGUUUUCAACAGCUGCCACACGGUAUGGGUGUGAAAAUGAAGACCGUGCCAGACAAGCGUAUGCCACGUUCGCAAAAGCACAACACCUGGACUUCAAGGUCAGGGAAUGCGGCUUGCACAUUAACCCAGCCUUCCCAUUUCUUGGGGCCUCUCCAGAUGGCUUGGUGUCCUGUGCAUGUUGUGGCGAUGGACUGCUAGAAAUCAAAUGUCUUUUUGCAAGCAAGGAUGCUGGCAUCGUCACAGCUGCGCAGUCCAAAACCUUCUGCUUGAAGGGCACUGAUGGAAGCUUGGAGCUCAGAAAAGACCAGUUAUUAUUAUCAAGUGCAAUCACAGCUAUUUGUGAUGGGCCGAGGAUACUGCGACUUUGUGGUGUGGACAGAAAGUGCAGAAUUCUGUAUUGUUCGUGUUCAACCUGACUCUGCCUUUUUUUAAUUCUGCACUUGAAAAUGUCACAUAUUUUUACAAACUUGGCAUUUUGCCUGAACUGUUAGGAAAGAAAAUCACCUGUGCCCAAGUCACCAGCCAUACAGUUGUGAACCAGGACAAGACUAGGUGUACAUGGUGUUACUGCAAAGCAAUUGUAAGAACACCAGACAUGAUAUGUUGUCAGUCCAAGACCUGCACAAUCAACCACUUUCAUCUUAAGUGUUUAGGACUAAAAACAGUGCCCAAGCGAAAGUGGUUGUGUACAGACUGUCAAAUAAUUGACAAUGCAAAAAAGAAGUCACAAAAGUCAUAACCAAAUUUCUGUAAUUACAAACAAUGCAUCGUGACUGUUGCUUUAUGGCCCAGUCACACGGCACUUAACGAAGGGUGACGAAGCCCUGACGAAACAAGAAAUCUGGACUUUCGUUGACUGUCGUUGGCAUCGUUUAACCUUCGCGCAGCUUCGUUCCUGCAGCUGGAGCUUCGUCAGGAUUUUUAAACUGUUGAAAAAUUUGAACGACAGAAAUGCACUGUAUUCUAGUAUGAUAAAUUACCUGUAGUUCACAAGAUAUUGUGUAUAGGUCUGUAUAUAUAUUUUGUAUACAUUCUUUGAAAAUUUUAUUUGAUUAUUUGAGUUUACUACCUUAAAAAGAGAAUACUAAUGUACAGCUACUCAGCACUUAUACAUAUUGAAGGGAUAUCAUAUUAUUUUCUUAAGUCUUAACACCUAUAAACUUUGAAAACUAACAUAAGCAUGAUAAUAAUAUGAACAAUACAUUAACUUUAAAUCAUUUCAGGAAGAUUAACUGAAAGCUAAUCAAAUGGAACCACAGAUGGACAAGUGUUUGUUAAAGCACAAGCUACACGAACAAUCUUGUCGAGAGUAGUAAAUUCCUCAUUGUCUGUGUUAUGCAGGAGUGUAAUAGGUACAGGACCCUGCAGCAUUGUGUACUUCUGUCGUGCAACUCCGAUUACUCGCUCCACGUGAAUCCGUACUGAAGCCAACUUUCUAGUGUCCUCAAGUUCAACUGCUCCUAAUUGUUUCUUACCCCUUGUGAAUGCAGGAAUUUCCACUUGAGCACAAUAAAGACCAACUUGAUCUUGAAUUGUAAAUCCUCUGUCAGCUAGCACUAGGUCACCAGGUAACAGUCUAUCCAAAAUCCACUGUUUGCUGUAAUAUGCUGGUCUGUUGCUCUUCCUCUCCAACCCUUGGAGAUAAAUGAAAUAACUCCUUGAGGUGUUAUCCCAAUCAGGUAUUUCAUAGUGU